Molecule: ribosomal RNA, 253 nt
Filed under: uncultured prokaryote
Description: partial 16S ribosomal RNA
Rfam family: Bacterial small subunit ribosomal RNA
Source: RNAcentral
ACGGGGGGGGCAAGCGUUGUUCGGAAUUACUGGGCGUAAAGGGCUCGUAGGCGGCCAACUAAGUCGGAUGUGAAAUCCCCAGGCUCAACUUGGGAACUGCAUCCGAUACUGGAUGGCUUGAAUCCGGGAGAGGGAUGCAGAAUUCCAGGUGUAGCGGUGAAAUGCGUAGAUAUCUGGAGGAAUACCGGUGGCGAAGGCGGGGCUCUGGGCCUCAACUGACGCUGAGGCGCGAAAGCUGGGGGAGCGAACGGGA